CAGUAGCCGCGGGAAAACGUAGGGUGCAAGCGUUAUCCGGAAUUAUUGGGCGUAAAGAGCUCGUAGGCGGUUUGUCGCGUCUGCUGUGAAAACUGGAGGCUCAACCUCCAGCCUGCAGUGGGUACGGGCAGACUAGAGUGCGGUAGGGGAGAUUGGAAUUCCUGGUGUAGCGGUGGAAUGCGCAGAUAUCAGGAGGAACACCGAUGGCGAAGGCAGAUCUCUGGGCCGUAACUGACGCUGAGGUACGAAAGCAUGGGGAGCAAACAGGAUUAGAUACCCCUGUAGUCCCUGUCUCUUAUAC
RNAcentral lists this ribosomal RNA (301 nucleotides) under uncultured bacterium. RNAcentral's name for it is "partial 16S ribosomal RNA". It matches the Rfam family "Bacterial small subunit ribosomal RNA", at positions 509 to 807 of the family's 1533-position model. The record is from RNAcentral.